RNAcentral lists this transfer-messenger RNA (397 nucleotides) under Bacteroidales. RNAcentral describes it as "UBA9300 sp011050615 Standard tmRNA". It matches the Rfam family "transfer-messenger RNA". Rfam says of the family: Bacterial tmRNA, also known as 10Sa RNA or SsrA, is named for its dual tRNA and mRNA-like properties. Its role is to liberate the mRNA from a stalled ribosome. Lineage: Bacteria; Pseudomonadati; Bacteroidota; Bacteroidia. The record is from RNAcentral. RNAcentral also lists the same sequence under 1 other name.
GGGGCUGACAUGGUUUCGACAGCAGGAUGAGGUGGUAUGUAAGCAUGCAGAGUGUGGUAGCGCAGCUCUAUAACCUGUGUUGCAACUUUUAAAAUGGCGAAGAUAACUUUGCUCUCGCAGCGUAACCGAAUAACAGUAAGUUAUGCUUAUCCCGGUACCAGGUACCGGGACGGGACGUUUCCCGGGCGGUCAGGCCCUGAGCCAACCCGAUAAGGAGACGCACGGAAAUCAGGGAUAGCCUGAGGAUUUCUCCGGUCUGAUGGUGAAAUAACAGGAGAUAAGGAUUAAUCCGGUUGUUCUGCACCUUUUUAAUCCCGACAAACAAGCAGGACUAAGCAUGUAGAAAGCAUAUGGUCUCCCUGUCUGGACGCGGGUUCGACUCCCGCCAGCUCCACUU